Molecule: ribosomal RNA, 303 nt
Filed under: uncultured bacterium
Lineage: Bacteria
Description: partial 16S ribosomal RNA
Rfam family: Bacterial small subunit ribosomal RNA
Source: RNAcentral
AGCAGCCGCCGCGGUAAAACAGAGGGUGCGAGCGUUAAUCGGAUUUACUGGGCGUAAAGCGUGCGUAGGCGGCUUCUUAAGUCGGAUGUGAAAUCCCUGAGCUUAACUUAGGAAUUGCAUUCGAUACUGGGAAGCUAGAGUAUGGGAGAGGAUGGUAGAAUUCCAGGUGUAGCGGUGAAAUGCGUAGAGAUCUGGAGGAAUACCGAUGGCGAAGGCAGCCAUCUGGCCUAAUACUGACGCUGAGGUACGAAAGCAUGGGGAGCAAACAGGAUUAGAUACCCCCGUAGUCCCUGUCUCUUAUAC